AUUAAUAUGUAUAACUUGUGUAUGCAGCAUCCCACGCAGAUCAAGUUUGUUAUAUUCCGUAUCCAUAUACAAAGAAACCAAAAAGCAUUUGGCUAAAUGUUUUAAAAGUUAAUCCUCGGGGAAACAUUUAUGGAGAAUAUGAAAACAAUGAUCCGACUCUUUUGCAAACAAAAAAUGAUGAAGCUGUGUUGCUGACUACAAUUGAAGAUCUGGUAUUAGACAAUCCGGUAGAAAGCUUAAACCCAAUCAUACUCGAUUACGAUGUCGGAGAUGCUGAACCAGAAGAUGAAUUCCGAUGUAAUUUAUCGUCUUCAAACGAUGAUGAAGUCGAAGAUGAUGAAGAGUACUAAAUGUGUGCUUUAUAUGUAUAUUAAUUUUCCUAUUUA
RNAcentral lists this small RNA (386 nucleotides) under Arabidopsis thaliana (thale cress). Its description in RNAcentral is "ATSL208180". The record is from RNAcentral. Lineage: Eukaryota; Viridiplantae; Streptophyta; Magnoliopsida; Brassicales; Brassicaceae.